Non-coding RNA from Jatropha curcas, 106 nucleotides. The record is from Rfam. NCBI's taxonomy places the organism in Eukaryota, Viridiplantae, Streptophyta, Magnoliopsida, Malpighiales, Euphorbiaceae.
AAGCUAUAAUGUGGACACUUUCUCAACGGUCUUUGAAUCUCUCCCAAGCUUCAUAGUAACUCUCUUGAUCAUGGCCGGCAAAAGUCAUUAUCUCAUUACGAAGCUU